This 676-nucleotide ribosomal RNA is filed under the name uncultured fungus. RNAcentral's name for it is "eukaryotic LSU rRNA". The stretch from base 257 to 410 matches the Rfam family "5.8S ribosomal RNA". Lineage: Eukaryota; Fungi. The record is from RNAcentral.
UAAAAGUCGUAACAAGGUUUCCGUAGGUGAACCUGCGGAAGGAUCAUUAACGAGUAACACUGAGUUGUCGCUGGCCUUUCGGGGCAUGUGCACACUCUUUCACUCAUCCACACACCUGUGAACCAAUGCGGGACAAUGGGGGGAAGCGAAAGGGGGCUGCAAGGUCCUCGAUUAGUUCCCCCCCCAGAGUUCUGUUAAUUUUAUUACAAACACUAUAAGUUUAGAAUGUACACUUUGCUAUAAACGCAUUAAAUACAACUUUCAACAACGGAUCUCUUGGCUCUCGCAUCGAUGAAGAACGCAGCGAAAUGCGAUAAGUAAUGUGAAUUGCAGAAUUCAGUGAAUCAUCGAAUCUUUGAACGCACCUUGCGCUCCUUGGUAUUCCGAGGAGCAUGCCUGUUUGAGUGUCUUGAAUAUCUCAACCCUCUAGAUUGCAAGAUCAAAAAGGGAUUGGACUUGGAGGCUUGCUGGCUUUGUUCGGCUCCUCUCAAAUGCAUUAGCUAUGGAUCGCGCAGCAUUGGAUCUACGGUGUGAUACAUGUCUACUCCAAGGAUUUAAUGCGAUGAUCACCGCUUCGGCAGUGUGUGUCUUUAAUUUGAUACACCGUGUGAUGAGCGAAUACAAAGCUUCUAAUCGUCUUUGGACAAUUACUUUGACAUCUGACCUCAAAUCAGNA